CUUAACACACCGUUUUUCAUUCAACAGCCAAAAGCAACUGAUCCAUUUUGAUCCAGCUGAGCCAAACAUAACUCAGCAAAGAUUGGCUUUGGCAGGCAGGUUUCUCACCUGAGAUCUGCGCAGUCACUGCAGACGGCUUCUUCUUCACCCCCAGGAAGCGGACGGACUGCACAGAGCACUCUGCAUCAUACUUCCCCCUGUCGUCUGCGCAGCUAAAAACGCAACAAGCAGAGCUUAGGAACUGGAACAGCACAAAACCCAGCCUUCUGGGAAAACCUUCAUCUCACCGAUUCAGCAGACGACCCCGCUCCAGGGAAAAACGGCGCAGAGCAAACUGCUUCCUGUCCCGGAAGUUGAAGGAGUAUCCGUCAUCCAGGUACAGGUCCCCCUCUGCGCAGCCCUGCAAGUCCAGGGCGACAGUGAGAGUGAAGGGGAGCUUCUGCAGGUCGGCUGUGCAGGAUCCAGACUCCGUCCUCCGGCUGACCACCGCGCCCCCAUGCUGAAACAGGGGGACCUGAGAG
Anguilla rostrata (American eel) is the source of this 521-nucleotide long non-coding RNA. RefSeq lists it as uncharacterized. The record is from RefSeq and is a predicted model, not a curated record. The transcript has 4 exons. NCBI's taxonomy places the organism in Eukaryota, Metazoa, Chordata, Actinopteri, Anguilliformes, Anguillidae.